UACGAGCCAUUCAAGCGUUAUCCGGAAUUAUUGGGCGUAAAGCGUUUGUAGGCGGGCGAGUGUGUUUAAUGUUAAAUCUUAAAGCUCAACUUUGAAAUUGCGUUAAAAACUGCUUGUCUUGAGUAUGGUAGGGGUAAAGGGAAUUCCCAGUGUAGCGGUGAAAUGCGUAGAUAUUGGGAAGAACACUAAACAGCGAAGGCACUUUACUAGGCUAAUACUGACGCUGAGAAACGAAAGGUAAGGUAGCGAAACGGAUUAGAUACCCGUGUAGUCUUACCCGUAAACUAUGGACACUAAACGGUAAAUUUUUAAUUUACUGUUAAAGCUAACGCGUUAAGUGUCCCGCCUGGGGAGUAUGCUUGCAAAAGUGAAACUCAAAGGAAUUGACGGGGCCCCGCACAAGCGGUGGAGCAUGUGGUUUAAUUCGACGGUACACGAAGAACCUUACCAGGAUUUGACAUGCUAGAUAGUUGCUUGAAAGAGUAACGUGCCGUAAGGAAUCUAGACACAGGUGGUGCAUGGCUGUCGUCAGUUCGUGUUGUGAAAUGUUGGGUUAAGUCCCGCAACGAACGCAACCCUUGUCUUUAGUUAUUUUCUAAAGAGACUGCCUGUAAUAAACAGGAGGAAGGUAAGGAUGAGGUCAAGUCAUCAUGCCCCUUAUGUCCUGGGCUACACACGUGCUACAAUGGGAAAGACAAUGAGCUGCAAAUCUGUAAAUUUAAGCAAAUCUCUUAAACUUUCUCGUAGUUCGGAUUGUGGGCUGCAACUCGCCCACAUGAAGUUGGAAUCGCUAGUAAUCGCCAGUCAGCUAUAUGGCGGUGAAUCCGUUCCCGGGCCU
RNAcentral lists this ribosomal RNA (838 nucleotides) under uncultured bacterium. RNAcentral's name for it is "bacterial SSU rRNA". It matches the Rfam family "Bacterial small subunit ribosomal RNA", at positions 524 to 1381 of the family's 1533-position model. The record is from RNAcentral.